GAUCCUGGCUCAGGAUGAACGCUAGCUACAGGCUUAACACAUGCAAGUCGAGGGGUAGCAGGGUAGCAAUACCGCUGACGACCGGCGCACGGGUGAGUAACACGUAUCCAACCUUCCCACAACUCAGGGAUAGCCUUUCGAAAGAAAGAUUAAUACCUGAUAGUACUUUUUCAAGGCAUCUUGAGAAAGUUAAAGAUUUAUUGGUUAUGGAUGGGGAUGCGUUCCAUUAGAUAGUUGGUGAGGUAACGGCUCACCAAGUCUUCGAUGGAUAGGGGUUCUGAGAGGAAGGUCCCCCACAUUGGUACUGAGACACGGACCAAACUCCUACGGGAGGCAGCAGUGAGGAAUAUUGGUCAAUGGGCGAGAGCCUGAACCAGCCAAGUAGCGUGAAGGAUGAAGGUCCUAUGGAUUGUAAACUUCUUUUAUAGUAGAAUAAAGUGAUCCACGUGUGGAUUUUUGUAUGUAUACUAUGAAUAAGGAUCGGCUAACUCCGUGCCAGCAGCCGC
RNAcentral lists this ribosomal RNA (506 nucleotides) under uncultured bacterium. RNAcentral describes it as "bacterial SSU rRNA". It matches the Rfam family "Bacterial small subunit ribosomal RNA", at positions 15 to 518 of the family's 1533-position model. The record is from RNAcentral.